AGAAACCCGCAUGCUGCAAUGAAGACCCAAUGCAACCAAAAAUAAAUAAAUAAAAUUGAUUCUUAAAAAAAAAUAAUAAAGAAGUGGAGAACACUUUAUGUAUGGAUAUGGAAUAAUUACAGGAACACAUUGUUUAGUAAAAAAAUACAAGCACAGAGCAAUGUGUUUAAUAUAUGAUCAUUUCUUUUAAAAGGGGGGAAAGAAUAUUUAUACAUAAUUACUUCUUUUGCACAAUGUAUCCAUGGAAGGAGGUAUAGAAAACAGGUAACAGUAGUUGCUUCUGGGAAGAGUAACUACAUGUUUGGGGAUCAAGAGUGGAGGAAGACUUUUCAUGGUAUGUUCUUUUGUAACAUGAGUUUUGGGCUUUUUGAAUAUAUGACCUAUUACAAAUAAAGAAAUAGAAUUAAAAACAAAUGUCCUGGCCUAGGCGAGGUGCAGUCUUAAUGAGCAGGAAGGUGGAGAUGACAGUUUAGGGCAGCAGUGGAGAGGUUGUUGAUAUUGGCUUUAGAAAAACCUGGAUUUGGAUCUGCACACUGACGCAGCUCCAGGUCUUCAGACAAGUUACUUCACCUCAUUGAAUCCCAGUUGACACAUGUAACUAGGGACUCUCCCUCCUCGUGGGGAAGACGGGUGACGGUGCAGGCAGGCACUUAGAGUACCUCUCUGUGCUGAAUCUCAGAAAGUGGCAGCUGUGCCACCAUGGGCCCUGGAAAAAACAAAGAGAAGGAGAGCUUGGGUGCUGUUCAUGUCUGGUCAGGAGUAGGAACGCCUCACUGCUUCUUGAUGCCUCACUGGUUCAGAGCAUCCCUGAGCAUACCUGUGCCGCUUGAAAACCUGGCGUCCUCUGAGUUGCCGGGGCAGGAGGAAGUAUGGAAUUCAUCACGCUGGCUGUGCUGGCUCAGUAGCAGCGCCCUCUUGCCUGGGCAGAGCUGGCCUCCACCGGGAACUGCUGGGCCCCACCAAAAGUCUCCAUCUGGCCAGAAACCCUGAGGGCAACCCCAGCCUUGCUCCAACUUGAAGGCUAUGUCUAUCUUCUUUUCUGCAAGGAGCUUUCAGUUGUCUUCAAAGACUUUCUCUCCAGACCAAAGGCGAUGACUUUCUGGAGGUUGCACUUUGUGUGACCCCCACAUCAGGUGGGGAGAGAGGCAGAGGGCUGCCAGGUGACCUGGCAGGCUGGAGUCAGAAGAUAUCUGUCCAAACUGUGAGCUCCAGGUCCUUCACUCCAACUCCCUUAGCCUCAGUUUUCUCAUCUGUAGAAUGGAGAUGCACCUGUGAUGAUCAAAUAUACAGUAAAAGCACUGUGUUAGCAGGAAAUCUGCCUGAAGCACACUUUCUUUUUCUUAGGAUGGUUGUGUUACAAACAGUUGUGGAGACUGAAAUGGGCCUCAAGUCAAGUCAAACCAAAACAGGAUCCUCCAGGGGUUUCAAAGGAACAUGAUGAGGCUGUGCUAGUUCUGCUCCUGCUGCUUGGGAGGGACCUAUGGGUGGGCAGGUGAGCACUGGGUAGGGAAGAGAGGCUGAGUGGGCUAGCUGCAGAGACUUUUCUGGGGUUUUUCUCCACUCAUUCAACAAUCAGGAAUGGGUAUCCCUUUAUUGGUUCUAUUGGGAGAUUCUAAGAAAAGAUAAGACAUGGGUGGCCCCAUCCUUGAGAAACCCUCAGGCAAAUGUGGGGGCAGAGAUCAUUCAGUCAUUCAACAAACACUUAUGGAGCCACUUGUGAAAAUGGUUGUGAAAGAUGCACAGAAUGGAUCAGCCAUGGUCCCUGCUUUCUAGAAGCUUAUAGUGUACCAGGGAAGAUCAUUCAUGGCACAUAAGGCUGUAUUUUCAUAAGAGAAAUUACCACUGUGCCAACUAAUUUUGUGAGAACUGAACGAACAUGGGGCAUGAGUGCUCAAGGCCAGGGAGGCUCAACUAAGAAAGGCUUCCUGAGGAGGCUGGAGCUAGGUUAGUGGGACCAGAACCAAGAGGCCACACUGAGGGGAGGGGGGGUGUCCCUUCAGGAGAGUGAUGUGUGACGAGCUAAGAGGGCUGCUGGUAGGUGGACUGAGGCCCUGGGGCAGUAUGGGCCCCUCUCCAAAGCUCCCAUCUGCCAUGCAGCUGUAUUGCUGCCUUGCUCUGUAGGGGGGAAUAAACUGCUUAUUAUUUUCCCCUCAGCCUCACCCAGGCAGCUCACCCUGCUAAACACCAGAGUGAAAGGGACCUGUAAACGUCUGGCAGGGGCUCACAUCAGAUCUGGCCACUGGAGUGGCAGGGCCUGGUUGGCUCCUGGCUCAUGCUGACCUCAGUCUAGCCAGAGGCACCAGGCACCUGGGUCACCUGCUUUGUGUCUGAGUUGAAACCUGCCCAUGUUGGGGAUGGCGACUCUGCCUCUGUCUGCUGGGUCUCUCUGUCCAGCUGGCCUGGUGGAUUCACAUAAAUAUUGAUUGUCUGCUCAGCCAUCUGGGAAGGGAGAGAGAGAGAGAGGGAGAGAGAGAGCGCGAAGCCGGGCAGUGGGGAGAGCCCUAUCAGGCAGCCCUGGAUGGAUAGAGUGCUCACACUGAAGGCUGACCAAGGCCCUCUUUGGCCUUCUCCCCGUAGGAGAGGCAGGAAUCCUAGGGUGGAGAACACCCUGGAGGUUGGUACACACCAAAUUCAGAAGAGUGCUAACCUCGAGCACUCAUGACGAGGAGCAUGCCAGCAGAGAGACCAAGGGGGUCUACGGUGGUAUUCGUGGUGGUUUAUUUCUUAAGCGAAGAAGGGCUACACGCCUGUUCCUGAUCUUGUUCUUUGUAUCCUUCUCUAUGUCUGAAUAGUUCAUAAUACAUUUUGUUUAGUGACAUUGAGAGUUCACUGACUCCUUCCUCAAGCCUGUAGGCAAGACUUCAGCAAUGUACUGGAAAUUGGUGAUGUUCUAGCCUAAGUUUAAAGCUUUGAAGAAGGAAUUCCCAAGACCCCAACACAACCCAGGCGGCAUCCUGCUACCUGCUCUUCCUCCAGCUUUGUCGGGGACGUUGUUCCUUCUCUGGGCUCUGGGCAGCAACCCUAUAGCAUUCCUGAAGUCCCCCAGUCAGACUGUAAACUCUGUGGGGGCAGAGACCCCUCCUGUGAUGGCGCUGGGCACACAGCAGGCACCUAAUCAGUGUUAGUUGAAACGCUGGGGAAAAAUCAGCCCAGGUGAGGGUGCUUUCAUAGCUGGGGAAGCGUGACACAAAGGUCACAAGCUUUGGGGUCAGACCUGGAUUUGAACCUGAGCCCUGACACAUAUCAGCUGUGUGACAGGGGGGUGUCACUUCACCUCUCUACUCUGGGGUUCCCUGAUCUGUAAAAAGGCAAUAAUGAUAGUGCCUACCUCAUGGGGCAUUGCAUGGGUAAAUGAUCUGAUGUACAGAAUGCAGCUGGUCCAUAAUUGGUGCUAAAAUCCUAAAGUCCCCAGCCCCCAUCCUGAGCAGUUCAAUUCCCGGGAAGCUUCUUGAAGCUCCUGAUGGAGAUGUUCUUAUAUCUUUGUCCUUGUCUUAGUCUGUUUCUGUGUCGUCUCGUUUCUGAUUCUGUCAUAGCUCUUUUUUUUUUUUUUUUUCAGUUUUUCUUUCUCCCCUUUCUGUUUCUCUCAUUACCUUUCCCCCAACCCACUUUCUUAAUUAUCUUCCUCUCCACCCCCUCCCUCCCUUCUUCUUUCCCUCCUUCUUUCUCCUGAUUCCUACCCUCCAGGGCCUCUGUGUGACUGUACUUCUCACCUUGCUGGCUCUGUUUCACAUUCCUCUAUUCAAGGCAUAGGAUGACCCUCCUUAGUGCAUUCAAGGAAAUGAGCGAAAAGAAACCAGACAGGUAGCUGCUGUCCACGGAGGCCAUGUUUGAUAAUCAGUCAUUUCUGGGAACAGCUCUUAACUCUUGGAACCCAAAUGGCUCCUAUCCCAUGGUUAUUGCUCCUACUUCCCAAGGGCCCCAGUCUCCAUCAGGGUCCUCUGCAAACCAACAGCAAGGCCUUGAAAAUCGUGUCAUCCAGGCAAUGGACUCCUUCUCUGAGUCCACUCCCAGGUCCGGAUUCUGCAGGACCCUGGAGGGAGGGGACGUUGUUUGGAGGAUUAGGAAGCUCUCAUCUAAUGGGAGAGUCAGCACUCUCAUGAGUCAGACCUGACACAAGCUCAGAAAACAAGCAAUAAAUAGAAAGCAAUUUUCUUCCUGAGCACUGAAGAGCCGUGCCAUUUAGAACAAAACAGAUUUAAUCAGAGAAGACUUCUUGGAGGAGGCCAAAGAGACCCCUGUGACUGGCAGCCCUGGCUGAGAUUGAGGAGAGAGCCGCUGGAGGUCAGGCAGCUUGACACCAACCAAGAGGUGAACCAGUUUUCGGGUAGCAUCUGUAAGGCAUGCCCAGGUGGUACCAUCAGGAGCGGUGGUAUGUAACCCUCAGCCCUCCGACAUCCUAAUUGUUACAGAAUGUCCUGCCUGGGCUCUGACCCUUCAAGCCCCAUCACCCUGUCUCAGGCCCCUCAAAAGCCUGAAAUUUUGUUGCCAGAGGUUCAAAGGUCUCAGGUUACAACAGAGGCGGGGCACCUGGAAGCACAGGCCCCAUGUCCCCUAACAAGACUUUCAGGAAAGAGGAGUCAGCUUUCAGCUCCAGUGCCAAGCUGUCUAGAAAGGGGGACCAGUGAGUGUCUUGCCCUCCCUAGAGAGCGGUAGCCCCUGUCUCCCAAGCUGUGCAGGGAGACAAUUCUUUCUGUCGGCCUGUGGAAGAAUGAACUCUGUUGCCCUCUGCACUUGAGGAAUUCCAUCAUCCUUAAAUUAUUUGUGUCAAUCGUUUGAAUCGAAAGAGAAUUUUAGAGCUGGGAGAAUUUGUUUAUAUUGUUGCAAUUUAUAAUGCUCAUUUUGUCACAGCAGUUUGCCUAUACAAAAGGAUGACCUAACAUUCACUUAUGGAGAGAGAAAACAAAACGCAAACUAAGGGGGCUUCCCUGGUGGCGCAGUGGUUGGGAGUCUGCCUGCUAAUGCACGGGACACGGGUUCGAGCCCUGG
Molecule: long non-coding RNA, 4986 nt
Organism: Aethalodelphis obliquidens (Pacific white-sided dolphin)
Lineage: Eukaryota; Metazoa; Chordata; Mammalia; Artiodactyla; Delphinidae
Exons: 3
Source: RefSeq, a predicted model, not a curated record